AUUGAACGCUGGCGGCAUGCUUUACACAUGCAAGUCGAACGGCAGCGCGGGCUUCGGCCUGGCGGCGAGUGGCGAACGGGUGAGUAAUGCAUCGGAACGUGCCCAGUAGUGGGGGAUAGCCCGGCGAAAGCCGGAUUAAUACCGCAUACGACCUGAGGGUGAAAGCGGGGGACCGAAAGGCCUCGCGCUAUUGGAGCGGCCGAUGUCGGAUUAGCUAGUUGGUGGGGUAAAGGCUUACCAAGGCGACGAUCCGUAGCUGGUCUGAGAGGACGACCAGCCACACUGGGACUGAGACACGGCCCAAGCUCCUACGGGAGGCAGCAGUGGGGAAUUUUGGACAAUGGGGGCAACCCUGAUCCAGCCAUGCCGCGUGCUGGAAGAAGGCCUUCGGGUUGUAAACCGCUUUUGUUCGGGAAGAAAUCCUCUGGGCUAAUACCCCGGGGGGAUGACGGUACCGGAAGAAUAAGCACCGGCUAACUACGUG
RNAcentral lists this ribosomal RNA (484 nucleotides) under uncultured bacterium. Its description in RNAcentral is "partial 16S ribosomal RNA". It matches the Rfam family "Bacterial small subunit ribosomal RNA", at positions 28 to 507 of the family's 1533-position model. The record is from RNAcentral.